AUGAACGCUGGCGGCGUGCCUAAUACAUGCAAGUCGAGCGAACAGACGCGGAGCUUGCUCCUCUGACGUUAGCGGCGGACGGGUGAGUAACACGUGGAUACCCUACCUAUAAGACUGGGAUAACUUCGGGAAACCGGAGCUAAUACCGGAUAAUAUAUCGACCCGCAUGGUUCAAUAGUGAAAGACGGUUUUGCUGUCACUUAUAGAUGGAUCCUCGCCGCAUUAGCUGGUUGGUAAGGUAACGGCUUACCAAGGCAACGAUGCGUAGCCGACCUGAGAGGGGGGUCGGCCACACGGGAGCUGGAACACGGUCCAGACUCCUAAGGGAGGCAGCAGUAGGGAAUCUUCCGCAAUGGGCGAAAGCCUUACGGAGCAACGCCGCGUGAGUGAUGAAGGUCUUCGGAUCGUAAAGCUCUGUUAUUAGGGAAGAACAAAUGUGUAAGUAACUAUGCACGUCUUGACGGUACCUAAUCAGAAAGCCACGGCUAACUACGUG
This 496-nucleotide ribosomal RNA is filed under the name uncultured bacterium. RNAcentral's name for it is "partial 16S ribosomal RNA". It matches the Rfam family "Bacterial small subunit ribosomal RNA", at positions 29 to 507 of the family's 1533-position model. The record is from RNAcentral.